UAGAAAUAUGAAACAUGAUUUAAUUUAAUUAGUUUAGUUACAAAAUAUAAAUAGUUGUAUUUCAGCAUUUCUUUCUGGAUAUUGUGUCGUUAGGUAAUGAAACCUACAUGUUUUAAAAGGUAGCACAAUUUGACUGACAACACACAGUUCUGGCUGAAAAGAGCACUAAAUUUGAAAUGUAGGGAAAAAAAAGAAGGAGAAGAAAAGACGGCAUUGGUUUGUGUCAGAAUACUGAUUUAUUACAAAAUUAAAAUAGAUAUUUAUAAAACUCAGCGUGGAAAUUUAUUGUCGCCAUACGAGUAUAGUAUAUAGUUCCGGAGAUUCAGAUUUUGGUUUCUGGAUUUUAAUAGGUCGAGGCAAAUGUUGCUUUCCUUUGCCAAGUUGCUGAGGAAAGAGGAGCGUGCCCUUGAGCGUGGCAGGCUGAUGUAAGAGACGGGUCUUCUCUUCGUCCAGUUCGGGACGCCUUCACGGCCAUUGUUACGAGUUCCAACCCAAAUGCUAAUUUUGACUGCAGCAGACUUUUUUCUGUCGUCUGUCUUGUUCGUCAGGCGGAAUGCAGAGGAGUUAAUUCGGAGGAAUAAACAUCGUCUGUGGCAGCAGGUAUGUGUUGGCCCUUUGAAAACCUUAGGAAAUCCUUUGGAAACCCUUAGAAAAUCCUUAGGUAGCCCUUAAGAAGCUCAUAGUUUACUUGUAGAACAAGUUUUGUCAUUGUCAUAGAUCGGUAAACUUUUGCUUUUGUCACAUUUAUAAUGAAUAAUUUUAAUAUCAUAAUCAAGGUUUACUGAGGUCUGAUGGACAGUGUUGCUUGCCAAAUUUAAUGCUUAGGUGUAACUUUUCAUAUAAUAAUUACCAGAAUAAAAUUUAAUUAAACAACUAGUUUGUUGGUGAUUUAUCCUAUAGUGUAAGAAUACAGAUAUGAAUGAACCAACAGCUCUACCGUUAGCAGUCUGAGCUAGAAGUUGAAUUUUUUAGGGUAUGUAGGAGUUUUGAAAGAAGAAAUAAAACGACUAUCAAGUGAA
Cydia pomonella (codling moth) is the source of this 1019-nucleotide long non-coding RNA. RefSeq lists it as uncharacterized. The transcript is spliced from 2 exons. Lineage: Eukaryota; Metazoa; Arthropoda; Insecta; Lepidoptera; Tortricidae. The record is from RefSeq and is a predicted model, not a curated record.